Molecule: unclassified non-coding RNA, 434 nt
Filed under: Hevea brasiliensis (rubber tree)
Lineage: Eukaryota; Viridiplantae; Streptophyta; Magnoliopsida; Malpighiales; Euphorbiaceae
Source: RNAcentral
UGGAUUAUAUCUUGAAGUAUGUGAUAUCUGUGAACUAAUUAAAUGAGCACUCUGCGAUGUCAUUGGCAGAACUUGCUUACGGGGAUCUAAAUUUGACCUCCUCGAAAACUGAGACAUUCUUGGAUCUGCAUGAGAUUCAGUCUGUGUAUGAUACUCGCUAGUACGACUGUUAACUACUUGAUUAAAAUUGCCGGUUGAGAUUGAUGGAGACAGAGGAAGCUGACGCCUCGCUGACUCUAAAGAUGGAGGGGCAGCUCCCUGAGUUUCUAGCGGUUGCAUUAUGGUUCCCCUGGAUAAACUUGCAGUCUUCGCUAUUCCAUAACUUGGUGUCCCCUCAUGACUUGAAUCUUUCUGUGACUGGAAUGAUUUCCCAACUAUGGAAUUUGUCGCUGUUGACCCACUGAAAGAGGGUAGAUAACCUCUUGGAUGAUCUG